AAUUCUUAGCUGGGUCUGGCUUCGAGGUGCCUUAAUAGUGAUGGCGUUGCUGUAAAGUAGCAGUGCCCAACAUUGUUGGUACGGGAGCUCUCUGGGUGUUCGUAGUCUGUGUUGCGACCUUCGAUUGAGUUUUGUUUCAGAGCGCUCCGUCGGCUGUGGGAGGUCAGGUUAAGAGAAUAUGGGUUGUGGGGUCAAAUUCAACUUGGCGGUAAUUCACAGAAAAUGUGACAUCGUGAGGGGCUGCGAGAUGGGAGGAAAUGACAAGAGUGAUUAAGCAGGGAAGAUCCUCGUGAUACAGGCUAUGAACGGGAAAGAGCGAUGGCGUUGGAUCCGAACGUUACGUAAUCUGAGACAGCAUCACCAACCAUCCUCACAGAUGCCAUCAAUUCGGGAAUGUCCUUUCCUCCGAAGGUACUCUUAACGCCGAAGGUCUAUGCACAUGUUGGUAUAACAAACGGUUGUGAUACAUGCUCUUAUUGAAUCUUCAGUCAUGCCACUGCAACAGAAGUACAAGAAACAUUCGAGGGUUGGAUAGACGCAAACUGGAGUUAACUUUGAUCACUUUUCACGGUCUCCAUUCAAGCCGAGGACAUACAUGUAGACGAGGACAAGCAUUAUUUGACUUAUAGGUUUUAUGAGUAGCUUGCUUUAGAACUGCAUGUGUGAACGAGAUGGAUCUCACGAAAAUUUAUUUCUUUUCGUUUCCUUUCGUUUUGAGCUAAGUCUCGAAGAUGGAAAUGCAAACUGACGUCUCGCAUUUCUAGGCCAUGUACAUUACACGGUGUAAUGUUCCCCACAUUUGAUUAGGUUUAGCCCCUGAUGAAGUUUUGGUGUCAUUUGGCUCAGGAAUGACGUGGAUGUCGAAUAAAUUGGUUGUGAAAGCUUUGAAGCGCUGAAAAUCAUUAGAGAGCAGGACGCCAUGAGCUGUUGGCGACCAGGUCUUCAGAAUUCGUGUUUAGCUUCACUCGCUCGCGAUCGUGAGAUGUCCAUGGGAGACCUCAAGCUUCGUAGCAUACUUGCUAAACUUUAUGCCUAAUUUCUGUCGCGGUGUUCAGGUCAAAGAUGCCUCGGUGCAGUUCGACUAUGAUCAGAUUGAUCCAAAUGAAGAGGAAGCUCAACUCGCUCUGCGUAACAAGGCAUGUUGUCAUGUUUGCAGGAUCCAAUGAAGAGGGAGAGAAAAGUUAACAAGCUUACAGGCGAGCUCUUUGAGUAUAUAAUCUACAACACAGUGUCACCUGAACUUGUCAAAUCUGCUAAUGUCGCACGGAGCAGGAGGUGGAGCGUUUGUUGCUCCAUACAUUAUGGGAAAGUAAAAGCAAUAAGCACAAGUGUGGAGAAUCACUAACGACGAACACGUUCAAGGCUGCCCGUUCGACUAGUAAACUUUCAGAUAGUGGAGUUGUGCAGUUGCGAUGUAACAUCUUACCGGUGAUACAUCUAGCUGGAACGGCGGAGAAUGUGGAGAUGUCUAUUCGAGCGUCUGAGAAAUAUCGAGACGACGUGGUCAACCUGGAUGCACUGUUGGUUCCCAUGGACGAAAUUGUGUACCGAGUUCAAGCUGCGGCUGCGAAAGGGGUAAUUCAAAAAAAGGAAAAAAGAUUCAAAGAUUGAAUCACUCUGGCCAGUGCAGUGGGAGAGUAAUCAUUUGUACGCAACUUGGAACUGUACGAAACUGUAACAGUUGGGUGAGAGAGCAGCAAGAACCCGAAGAAUUGACUCCAAGAGAAGACGUUCUCAUUGUUCUGCAGCUUGGUGGAAGAGUCGGGAAAUCUAGAUGAGUGCGUUCCCUAAACUCGACUCUGCCUUGUUUUCUCUGCUCCAUCCUUAGUAGCCUGUUUCUGGCAAAUGAAUGUUUCAACCUCGUUGAUAAUCCCCACCUCAAUCCAGAUCCCCGAGUCCUCUUUUGUGUUUUCCAACCCUGACUCAAAACCAGAAUCAGAUCCUACACUUGCCGUGACUUUCUUUGGAAAAUAAUUAUAUUAAAAGAGAUGAAGAAACCGGUUGACAGUAGUAUCCAGCCAACCAGUAUCAUAAGGUCACUUGACAUUGUGGUCGACUCUGGGUUGGCUAAAGCACGAUUCAGGAACAACUCAACCCUCUUUCAUAAUCACAAUAUGUGUGUGUGUGUGUAUGUGAUGACAAUAUGUCAAUUACAAACGCUGUAGUGACUACUUGUUUGCUAUCCGAUCGAUCCAGAGUGUUAUUUUGAUGCAAGGAAUGCCUGAGUAGGUGGAUAUUGUGAAUCAAAAGACGCCUCUUGACAUUUUUGUUACCAAGCUUGAGAAGUGAAUGCUUUCAUGCUUCUCUUACCUCUUGACGAGGACAUCGUGUCUUUUUGUAAGUACAUCUUCAGCAUAAGUUUGGAUUAGCAGUGAUUGACGACACAUGCAAUGUUCAUGGAUCACACGAAAUCUGUACCCAUUUUUGCACCACGUUGGUGCUAGCAGGCAGGGAAACAAUGUCUGCAAUAAUAUGCAACUUGCUGCUGAUCCUUCUCUUCAUCCCCAAA
Non-coding RNA from Physcomitrium patens, 2509 nucleotides. NCBI's taxonomy places the organism in Eukaryota, Viridiplantae, Streptophyta, Bryopsida, Funariales, Funariaceae. The record is from RefSeq and is a predicted model, not a curated record.